UACAGAGGGUGCGAGCGUUAAUCGGAAUGACUGGGCGUAAAGGGCGCGUAGGUGGUUUGUUAAGAUCGAUGUGAAAUCCCUGGGCUUAACCUAGGAAGGCCAUUGAAGACUGACAAGCUGGAGUACUGUAGAGGGUAGUGGAAUUUCCGGUGUAGCGGUGAAAUGCGUAGAGAUCGGAAGGAACAUCAGUGGCGAAGGCGGCUACCUGGACAGAUACUGACACUGAGGCGCGAGAGCGUGGGGAGCAAACAGG
This 253-nucleotide ribosomal RNA is filed under the name uncultured bacterium. Its description in RNAcentral is "partial 16S ribosomal RNA". It matches the Rfam family "Bacterial small subunit ribosomal RNA", at positions 524 to 776 of the family's 1533-position model. The record is from RNAcentral.